Molecule: ribosomal RNA, 2417 nt
Filed under: Klebsiella pneumoniae subsp. pneumoniae
Lineage: Bacteria; Pseudomonadati; Pseudomonadota; Gammaproteobacteria; Enterobacterales; Enterobacteriaceae
Description: partial 23S ribosomal RNA
Rfam family: Bacterial large subunit ribosomal RNA
Source: RNAcentral
GGGACACGUGGUAUCCUGUCUGAAUAUGGGGGGACCAUCCUCCAAGGCUAAAUACUCCUGACUGACCGAUAGUGAACCAGUACCGUGAGGGAAAGGCGAAAAGAACCCCGGCGAGGGGAGUGAAAAAGAACCUGAAACCGUGUACGUACAAGCAGUGGGAGCACCUUCGGGUGUGACUGCGUACCUUUUGUAUAAUGGGUCAGCGACUUAUAUUCUGUAGCAAGGUUAACCGUAUAGGGGAGCCGCAGGGAAACCGAGUCUUAACUGGGCGUUAAGUUGCAGGGUAUAGACCCGAAACCCGGUGAUCUAGCCAUGGGCAGGUUGAAGGUUGGGUAACACUAACUGGAGGACCGAACCGACUAAUGUUGAAAAAUUAGCGGAUGACUUGUGGCUGGGGGUGAAAGGCCAAUCAAACCGGGAGAUAGCUGGUUCUCCCCGAAAGCUAUUUAGGUAGCGCCUCGUGAACUCAUCUUCGGGGGUAGAGCACUGUUUCGGCUAGGGGGUCAUCCCGACUUACCAACCCGAUGCAAACUACGAAUACCGAAGAAUGUUAUCACGGGAGACACACGGCGGGUGCUAACGUCCGUCGUGAAGAGGGAAACAACCCAGACCGCCAGCUAAGGUCCCAAAGUCAUGGUUAAGUGGGAAACGAUGUGGGAAGGCACAGACAGCCAGGAUGUUGGCUUAGAAGCAGCCAUCAUUUAAAGAAAGCGUAAUAGCUCACUGGUCGAGUCGGCCUGCGCGGAAGAUGUAACGGGGCUAAACCAUGCACCGAAGCUGCGGCAGCGACACGAUGUGUUGUUGGGUAGGGGAGCGUUCUGUAAGCCUGCGAAGGUGUGCUGUGAGGCAUGCUGGAGGUAUCAGAAGUGCGAAUGCUGACAUAAGUAACGAUAAAGCGGGUGAAAAGCCCGCUCGCCGGAAGACCAAGGGUUCCUGUCCAACGUUAAUCGGGGCAGGGUGAGUCGACCCCUAAGGCGAGGCCGAAAGGCGUAGUCGAUGGGAAACAGGUUAAUAUUCCUGUACUUGGUGUUACUGCGAAGGGGGGACGGAGAAGGCUAUGUUAGCCGGGCGACGGUUGUCCCGGUUUAAGCAUGUAGGCUGGUUGUCCAGGCAAAUCCGGAUAAUCAAGGCUGAGGUGUGAUGACGAGGCACUACGGUGCUGAAGUAACAAAUGCCCUGCUUCCAGGAAAAGCCUCUAAGCAUCAGGUAACAUUAAAUCGUACCCCAAACCGACACAGGUGGUCAGGUAGAGAAUACCAAGGCGCUUGAGAGAACUCGGGUGAAGGAACUAGGCAAAAUGGUGCCGUAACUUCGGGAGAAGGCACGCUGGUGUGUAGGUGAAGCCCCUGCGGGUGGAGCUGAGACCAGUCGAAGAUACCAGCUGGCUGCAACUGUUUAUUAAAAACACAGCACUGUGCAAACACGAAAGUGGACGUAUACGGUGUGACGCCUGCCCGGUGCCGGAAGGUUAAUUGAUGGGGUUAUCCGUAAGGAGAAGCUCUUGAUCGAAGCCCCGGUAAACGGCGGCCGUAACUAUAACGGUCCUAAGGUAGCGAAAUUCCUUGUCGGGUAAGUUCCGACCUGCACGAAUGGCGUAAUGAUGGCCAGGCUGUCUCCACCCGAGACUCAGUGAAAUUGAACUCGCUGUGAAGAUGCAGUGUACCCGCGGCAAGACGGAAAGACCCCGUGAACCUUUACUAUAGCUUGACACUGAACAUUGAGCCUUGAUGUGUAGGAUAGGUGGGAGGCUUUGAAGCGUGGACGCCAGUCUGCGUGGAGCCAACCUUGAAAUACCACCCUUUAAUGUUUGAUGUUCUAACGUUGGCCCCUGACCGGGGUUGCGGACAGUGUCUGGUGGGUAGUUUGACUGGGGCGGUCUCCUCCCAAAGCGUAACGGAGGAGCACGAAGGUUAGCUAAUCCUGGUCGGACAUCAGGAGGUUAGUGCAAUGGCAUAAGCUAGCUUGACUGCGAGCGUGACGGCGCGAGCAGGUGCGAAAGCAGGUCAUAGUGAUCCGGUGGUUCUGAAUGGAAGGGCCAUCGCUCAACGGAUAAAAGGUACUCCGGGGAUAACAGGCUGAUACCGCCCAAGAGUUCAUAUCGACGGCGGUGUUUGGCACCUCGAUGUCGGCUCAUCACAUCCUGGGGCUGAAGUAGGUCCCAAGGGUAUGGCUGUUCGCCAUUUAAAGUGGUACGCGAGCUGGGUUUAGAACGUCGUGAGACAGUUCGGUCCCUAUCUGCCGUGGGCGCUGGAGAAUUGAGGGGGGCUGCUCCUAGUACGAGAGGACCGGAGUGGACGCAUCACUGGUGUUCGGGUUGUCAUGCCAAUGGCACUGCCCGGUAGCUAAAUGCGGAAGAGAUAAGUGCUGAAAGCAUCUAAGCACGAAACUUGCCCCGAGAUGAGUUCUCCCUGAGACUU